GCAUCGGUGGUUUAGUGGUAAAAUUAGCCGUUGCCAUCGGCUAGCCCCGGGUUCGGUAAGUUUACUUGAAUCCACUCUUCGAUUAUCAGCUCUAACGUCCCCUAGAUUCCCGGCCGAUGCA
This 121-nucleotide transfer RNA is filed under the name Pyrenophora teres f. teres 0-1. RNAcentral's name for it is "tRNA-Gly (GCC) (tRNA-Gly-GCC-1-1)". Lineage: Eukaryota; Fungi; Ascomycota; Dothideomycetes; Pleosporales; Pleosporaceae. The record is from RNAcentral.